GCCUCCCAUGUGGAAAAUAUUUUAAUGUUUAUGAGCCACCAGCUCACAUCCUAUUCUUGCACAACACUUUCUACUUUUCAAAAUGCUUUUAUAGGUUAUCUUUUUGGAUCCGACUCCCGGUACUGCAGCCAUCUGUCACUGCCUCUGUUUUUACUACUGAAGCAACAAACACACGGAAGGGGAAUUGUUAAACCUGUGGGAUCCCACGGAGCUCGACGGGGGAAGUGGACACAUCACAUGCUCCCCAGUCCCCAGGGAGUGGGGACCCAGGAAGGUGGCCCACACGGUCACGUUCAAAACCAGCAUGCCGGAGGUGUUAGGACUGCAGCCGGCUGGAAGGGAAGCCGGCGUGGGAUGCGAAAAGGCGAUGAAGAAACUUUGGAGGUAUAUAUGAGAAACCAAUAAUAGUGCUGAUCUUAAGGUUGAGAAAUGGAGAGGAGACAAUCACAGGUGAUUGAGGUGAGGGUAGUAUUUUCUUUUGAAUCCAUUUUAUUUAUUUAUUUUAAUUUUUAUUAUUUUUAAUAUUUUAUUUAUUCAUUAGAGACACACACAGAGAGAGGCAGAGACCCAGGCAGAGGGAGAAGCAGGUUCCCUGUGGAGGACUCAAUGUGGGACUCCACCCCAGGACCCAGG
RNAcentral lists this long non-coding RNA (633 nucleotides) under Canis lupus familiaris (dog). RNAcentral describes it as "lncRNA (ENSCAFG00845011390.1)". The record is from RNAcentral. Lineage: Eukaryota; Metazoa; Chordata; Mammalia; Carnivora; Canidae.